Molecule: transfer RNA, 72 nt
Organism: Allomyces macrogynus ATCC 38327
Lineage: Eukaryota; Fungi; Blastocladiomycota; Blastocladiomycetes; Blastocladiales; Blastocladiaceae
Rfam family: tRNA
About the family: Transfer RNA (tRNA) molecules are approximately 80 nucleotides in length. Their secondary structure includes four short double-helical elements and three loops (D, anti-codon, and T loops).
Source: Rfam
GAGCUCAUGGUGUAGUGGUAUCAUAUCUGCUUUGGGUGCAGGAGGUCUCGGGUUCGAACCCCGGUGGGCCCC